GCAGCAUCUGUUGGCUGCGCGGGCUGUGACCUUUCUCACAGCAUGGUAUUCGUCAUUGUUUUGUUUGCGAGCAUCUAUAUAUGCCGUGGAAGUUCUGGGGAGAGAGUUUCAGAAAAAGAAAACUGAAACUAAGAAGGAAAUCAAAAGCAAAAAGCCAGAAACUACUUCUUUAGCCCUUUUCUUUAUGAUCUCAGGACUUCAGGGACCUUGAAAGAUUGAUUUCCUCUCACUCAAGUUUCUUAUAAAAUUAGCUUUGGCUCAUACAUCUGUAACACAGUAGUUAAUUUUACAAGAUAAGCAGUACAGGGGAAAUGUAUCUGAGGGGAAAAUCGAGUGCUGGAAGCUCGAGAGACACUUAUAAGGUCACAAAACAAAGCCGUGGGUUCCUGCAUUCUGAAGUGGAACUAUAGGCUCUUGCCUGGUCCCAGCUGUUCUCAUUAAGUCCUUAAUAUUGACUGAAUCUCCCACCAGUGAAGAGCAGUAAAAUAAAACCCUCAGAGCCCUGGGAGCAGAGUGAUUCUACAGACCUCUAGAUGGAUUUGGCAGAGAAGAAGAAUCAGAAAGACUUCACUAAUGUCAGAAAUGAAAAGCGAAUUUGUAUCCUCAACUUUAUUUCACCCAUGCAGCCC
Molecule: long non-coding RNA, 629 nt
Filed under: Equus caballus (horse)
Lineage: Eukaryota; Metazoa; Chordata; Mammalia; Perissodactyla; Equidae
Description: lncRNA (ENSECAG00000045118.1)
Source: RNAcentral